This 253-nucleotide ribosomal RNA is filed under the name uncultured bacterium. Its description in RNAcentral is "partial 16S ribosomal RNA". It matches the Rfam family "Bacterial small subunit ribosomal RNA", at positions 524 to 776 of the family's 1533-position model. The record is from RNAcentral.
UACGGAGGAUGCAAGCGUUAUCCGGAUUCACUGGGUUUAAAGGGUGCGUAGGCGGGCAGGUAAGUCCGUGGUGAAAUCUCUGAGCUUAACUCAGAAACUGCCAUGGAUACUAUUUGUCUUGAAUGUUGUGGAGGUAAGCGGAAUAUGUCAUGUAGCGGUGAAAUGCUUAGAUAUGACAUAGAACACCAAUUGCGAAGGCAGCUUACUACACAAAUAUUGACGCUGAGGCACGAAAGCGUGGGGAUCAAACAGG